UUUGUGUGUGUGUAUAACAGAGAGAGCAAGCAGAGGGAAGGGCAGAGGGAGAGAGAAUCUCCAGCCGACUCCCUGCUGAGUACAGAGCCCGAUGCAGGGCUGGAUCCCACAACCCUGAGAUCACGACCUGAGCCAAAAUCAAGAGUUGGAUGCUUAACCAACUGAGUCACCCAGGCGACCCCCUCUCCCCCACUUCUCUGACCACUCUAAAUUUCUAACAAAAAGCUCAAAGUUAUGAGGAAAAGAUCUUCAAAUAUAGACCAUUCUCAAAAUACAAUGGUGGUUCCUGGAAACAGUCUGUGACAAUCAUUACCCUAAACCACAUGGGUUGGUCCAAAGUGAAUCUGGUGCCAUUAGAAACUACAGAAGCUCAACGUCCAAGAAGAUGCUAGCCUAGCCCCACGGAUGGCUGGGAAACCAGCUACAUAUUCCAGUGCCCUGCUCCCGUCUGAAUGAACAUCCACUGAAUAUCUGCAGUAUGAAUGACAUUGUGCUACACGGUACAGGGGGGACAAAAAGGGAGGAUGGGCGGCCAGCAACAUUUUGGCACACAGGAGGCCAAGAGUCUCUUGAGAAAACAGGGCCUGUAUACAUAGAUUCCUCAGAGACCUGGAUUCUGGUCUAAACUAAAUUACUGGAUGUAUGACCUUGGGCAAGUCACAAAAUUUCUCUGCACCUUGGAUUCUGCGUAUGAGAAUUUAACAACAUAAAGCAUCAUUCAUGAGGAGACGAUUGCUUGCAAAGGUUCAAUGCAAGAGGACGGAGAGAUCAAGGGAAUCUUCCCAGAGUUGAGAUUUCAGCGGGGCCUUGAAAAACGAGUAGAAUUCUGAGGGAAAAGAAGCAUUAGGGGACUCCAGGAGGGAAAACGAAGGCCGGAACACAUACUUCCUAUUAAUGAGAUAGACUCAUUAAUAGACUGACAUCCGGCUCAUCGAGUGUUAGUGCAGUGGUGAAUGAAGUGAGCCAGGUAUGACCAAGGAUGUGGAGACGCUGGGAGGUGUUGAAUGCCAGCCUAAGGAAUGUGGCCUUUCUCCUAUUCAUUGGGUUGUUCGUAAAGGGACAAGGCAAGAGAACCAGUAUCCACAUCAGUCAGCACAUCCAGUUUACACGGAUUAACACCUCCUCACUCAAUUUAGAAGGUAUAGGGAUGAAGCAAUGCAGUCGUGAUUUGCAAACCACGGGAGAGCCCGAAGGACGAAACCUAUUAAGAGACUAUAGAUGGGGCAAAGGUAUACAUCAAGGACAGCCGCAGGAUUGGCAUUUUCGAGUAAGAGAAGAUGAUAAAGGAAUGACGGGAUGUUGCUGUUCACUGAUAACUCAGCUGUUACAUCUGAAAACAGUGACGCGCUCUGUUUGUAUCUGUAGGUUGGACAGUAAACUCCACAACGAAAGGUGAAAGCAUCCAAACUCUGAGAGCAAAUAAGAGAAACCUUUAACAGAAAUCAGCACUUUUCGAGUACCCUUGCAUGCUUGUGCCUAGUUAUAGGCAACAUAUCACACAGUUCUGGAAUAAAAAGAAAAUUGAAAAUCAAAUUUUACAAAUGACAGUAUUUGAAACCAUUAUUGGCUUUUAAAUAGAUAGGACAAUGUGUGGAAAUGAAGAAACUUGUUUAGGGUUUAUUUGCCUUUUCAGUAGAAUUUAAAUUGGGGGGUGGGGGGUAAAUCUCACAGAAGAAAUACAGAUUCAGUAACUUUUUCUGGGGAUUAAAAGAAGAAAGGAUUGGGAAAAGUGCCCUGGGCUUUGUUGUGGGAAAGGCGAUCUGGCUCAUUUUUAAUUUUCCAUUAAAGCCCUACUUUUCGGUAUAAAGCAGAUGGAAUCCUUACACAACUCCAUGAAAAGCCUACUAUUUUUGGGAGCCUCAAAGAUGGAAGCUCUGAAAAAAAAAAAAAGUGUUUAAAUUCAUCAGAUAAAAUCCCACCAGCACAUUCAAAAGAAGCAGGUACUUAGAAAUCUUAAAAAUACAAAGUAAGUGGUCUUCCUGUGAUUGAUUUCUGAUCCCCAGCCUCCCCUGGGUGGCUGCUGGCUCUGGCUCCGCUGAUUGAUGAUUCUCCACCACUUCACGGCCUGCUCUCAUCAGUGAGGCUCAGAGUCACUAUGCUUGCCUCAUUCCUUGUCUUUCAGAAGCUGCCUCCCUGGUGGGUCCAUCCCCGCUGCCAUGCUCAUACCUAGAAGAGAUUUCAGUGUCAGGCCUGCCCGCCCCAGACCUACGGAGUCAGAAGAGGGCCUGGGAAUAUGCAUUCUCUAAGAUCCUCAGAGAAUAUUCAUGUAACCAUGGCCCUAAAGCUUUCUCCUUAUUAUUCUUAUGAGCUAAGGCCUAGUCAAUAUAUUCUGUUGGUUGUGCUGCCGGUGUGGAUGGAAGACGACGAGGGCUGAUGUUUACGGGGUGUGGACUGUGAAUGCACUGGGCUAGGAGGUGAUAUGCACAGUCUCUGUCCUUACAGUUUACAAGCUCACUUGAGAAACAGAACAAAUUCAGUCUUGGGAGCAGAGAUUCUGGAGUCAGACUGACUGCCUGGGUUCAGAUUCCAGCUCUGCUGCUUACGAGCUGUGUGAGUCUGACUAAACCACUUAACGUCCUAUACCUCAGCUUCCCCCUCUAUUAAAUGGGAAUAAUAAUGAUAGUACAUCAUGGAAUAAUGCUGGGUGUCGUGCCGGCCAAUCGACCAUGGAUAUAUAUAGUCCCUGACUUCCAAAGAGCUCACAGGUCCAUAAAAAAAAAAAAACAGUAUCCGCCCAUUCUCUCACCCAGCUGACUCCAUUUUGCUCUUUUUUUUUUUAAAGUCAGACCAUGAUGAGGGUGAUGACGAGGUGUUAACCAAGUGCUAUGGGGGCCCAGAAAGAGGACCAAGAGGGGACUUCCCAGAAGGUAGGCCUUGAGUGGAGCAAUGAAGGAGUGAGGUUUCCACUAGGGGGGGAAGGUGUCUUUAUAUCCUCCAACACUUAACCCAGAAGCAACUGCAAAGCAAAGGUAAGGACAUUAGAAAGCAGGCAGGGAGCGAGGAACCACCACAGCUUCGGAGCAAAAGCAGGCAUGAGCUUAGGAACCACACAGACUGGCUUCUCUAGUAAUUAGCUGGGUGACCACACUCAAGUUCCUUAACCUUUCUGAGCCUCGGUCUUCCCAUUUGAUCAAUGGGGAUAAUAACACCUGCCUUACAGAGUUGUUAUAAUUAAGUAAAUUACUGUAUGUAAAGCACUUAACGAGGCCUCCAGGGUGCAAUAAAAGUGGUAGGUAUUAUUAUUUUUAUGGUAUAUUUAAGGAGGGGUAAGUAGCACAUGUGGCGUGCUACAUGCCUUUUUUUUUUUUUUUUUUGACAUUAUCAGAAGGCCAGAAAUAAGCAGCCGUCAGAAGAAGCCUUACGAAUUGAAAUAAGCAAUGGGCUAAGACUUUCCCACACUGUACAUUUUUCUCCCCCAAAUUUAUAGUUAAUUGAUGUUCGACACAUAUUUGUCCAAACCAACAAGGGGCUGCCUGAGGCCACAGGUCUACAAGGGCAGAAAUAACGUGGUGAUCUCUGCUUCCUAAAAAUACCCAGGAUGGACCCAAGUCAGCUUUACAUCCUGUAGGUCAUCCUGGAAGCGCUGAGACGAAUGGGAAAAUGCUCUCAUCCAAACAUUACGACAACUCAGAGCCUCACAAACGUUGUUAAAGUUUCAUGAGUCAGUAAGCAUUAUCUUUUCUUCCCACGUUUUUAUUAGACCAUAAAUCCAGUUCAAUUUAUAUCCUUCUAGGAUUACUGUGUUCUAAUCAAGUCCAGAGUGCCACUUAUUCCUAGGCUGUCUAUACUGCCUGUCACCCAAGUCCAUUGGGGUAAUAGUGUUUGGGCUACUCGGGUGUUUUGGCAGCUAAAAAUUAGAUUUGCUACAUUGAGGGGAAAAAAAAGGAUAUUUCUCGAAAUAAUCCAAAUCACCCUAUUCUCGUAAGAACCAAGUGCCUAAAAGCCAUAACUCACGUUUUCUCUGUAGUCUCUGCCUUCAGGAAGUCUGAUGAAAUUCCUAAGUCAAAUUCAAAGGAUUUGCAUCAUAACUAGGUUAAAAUUCUGGUUGUCUGACUAAAACCAAGACACUCUUUGAUAGGGCUAACUUCAAAGUGCUUUUAUGUUUUCUAUUCUCAAGAAUAAAAAAGGCUCUGCGUU
This 4137-nucleotide long non-coding RNA is filed under the name Canis lupus familiaris (dog). RNAcentral describes it as "lncRNA (ENSCAFG00000055906.1)". Lineage: Eukaryota; Metazoa; Chordata; Mammalia; Carnivora; Canidae. The record is from RNAcentral.